This 932-nucleotide long non-coding RNA is filed under the name Equus asinus (donkey). RNAcentral's name for it is "lncRNA (ENSEASG00005025373.1)". The record is from RNAcentral. Lineage: Eukaryota; Metazoa; Chordata; Mammalia; Perissodactyla; Equidae.
GUUCCUGCUCAGAGUACACUAACCGCUCCGGAGUAGAGAUUAAAACUAACAUCUGUAUAUCUUACUCGCUGUCCUUUUGGAAGCUGUAAGUAAAGCUGGGUGCCAGUUUGGUCCCACACGUUCCCUAGGGUCUGCCAGUUGAGGCACGAUCGCUUCCGGAUUCCUUCCGGCCGGCCUCUGCACCGGAAGGGAAAGCCAGGAACUGCAAGGGUCUUUGAGUCCACUGAUUGGUCCAGCGGCCAGGCUGACCUAAUCUGCUGUCUCCAGACUCGCCUGUGGUCUAGAUUUGUUCUGAGUCUAUUCCUGUAGGCCUGGUUCCCUCGAAUGCCCUGAUUCGACACUCUGCAAAGGCAUUGAAUGGGGUCUGGCUGGCAGGCUUGUGACCACAGCAUCCUUCUACCCCAUCAGCACCAGCCUGAGAGAGCCUGGGUGACAGGGAGGAGAAGCCUGUGACACCAGCAGAAGCUCGUGUUUCCAGUCACAAGAUCCCCAGAAGCCUGGCUCUGCAGGAUCUGCCAGGGCUGUGGUUGCUGCAGAUGCAACCUUGACUCUGCAGCCUUUCUCAGGAGCACCUCCCUGGCGGACACCCCGGGGUCGGCUGGUCCACGUCAACAGAGACAGCUUUCCGCCCUAGGUUUUUCCCCAGGGCACCAAAUUAGGGCCUCAAGACUGAGAGAGGGAACACCAUGUGAAGACACAGACACGCAGAGGGAUGAUGGCCAUGUGAAGAGAGAGGCAGACUGGAGUGAUGUGGCCACAAGCCAAGGAACACCUGGUGCUACCAGAAGCUGGAAGAGGCCAGGAAGGAUCCUCCAUAGAUUAGGAGGGAGUAUGGACCUGCCAACAUCUUGCUUUUGGAUUUCUAGCCUCCAGAACUGUGAGAGAACAAAUUGCUGUUUUAUACCACCCAGAUUGCGGUACUUCGCUAUAGC